GAUGAAGAACGCAGCGAAAUGCGAUAAGUAAUGUGAAUUGCAGAAUUCAGUGAAUCAUCGAAUCUUUGAACGCACCUUGCGCUCCUUGGCAUUCCGAGGAGCAUGCCUGUUUGAGUGUCAUUAAAUUCUCAAGACCUGUCUGCUUUUUUGAUAGGUAUUGGAUUCUGGGGGUUGCAGGCUGUUUCAAAUAAAUAGCCUUGCUCUCCUUGAAUGUAUUAGUGGAGAAAAGCCAUUGAACUCCAUUGGUGUGAUAAAACCUAUCAAUGCCAGGAGCAAUAUCACUACUUCUCUCUGCUGUCUAACUGUGACUGUCUGUAUUAAUUAGUAUGGAUGGGGACAACUUGACCAACUUGACCUCAAAUCAGGUAGGACUACCCGCUGAACUUAAGCAUAUCAAUAAGCGGAGGA
RNAcentral lists this unclassified non-coding RNA (408 nucleotides) under soil metagenome. Its description in RNAcentral is "partial contains 5.8S ribosomal RNA, internal transcribed spacer 2, and large subunit ribosomal RNA". The stretch from base 1 to 120 matches the Rfam family "5.8S ribosomal RNA", at positions 35 to 154 of the family's 154-position model. The record is from RNAcentral.